UUCGCAAUGCCCGAAAGGGUGACGAAGCGACGCCGCGUGCGGGAAGAAGGCCUUCGGGUUGUAAACCGCUGUCGGGAGUUAAGAAAUGCAAGGAUGCUAAUAGCGUCUUUGCUUGACUAAGGCUCCGGAGGAAGCCACGGCUAACUCUGUGCCAGCAGCCGCGGUAAUACAGAGGCGGCAAGCGUUGUUCGGUAUUAUUGGGCGUAAAGAGCACGUAGGCGGCCGUGUAAGUCGGUUGUGAAAGCCUUCCGCUCAACGGGAGAACGGCAUCCGAUACUGCAUGGCUCGAGUGCGGGAGGGGAGAGUGGAACUUCUGGUGGAGCGGUGAAAUGCGUAGAUAUCAGAAGGAACACCGGCGGCGAAGGCGACUCUCUGGCCCGUAACUGACGCUGAGUGUGCGAAAGCUAGGGGAGCAAACGGGAUUAGAUACCCCGGUAGUCCUAGCCGUAAACGAUGGGCACUAAGUAGAGGGGUUUU
Molecule: ribosomal RNA, 477 nt
Filed under: uncultured anaerobic ammonium-oxidizing bacterium
Lineage: Bacteria
Description: bacterial SSU rRNA
Rfam family: Bacterial small subunit ribosomal RNA
Source: RNAcentral